UAAACUAGGAUUAGAUACCCUAUUAUUUUAUAUGUAAAUUUUAUCCAGGGUAGUAUUAGUUAUGUUCUUUAAACCUAAAGGAUUUGGCGGUGUUUUAGUCUUUUCAGAGGAAUCUGCCCCGUUAUCGAUAAUCCCCGAUUAAUUCUUUCUUAAAUUUGCAUUUCAGUAUGUAUACCGCCGUUAUAAGUUUAUUUUAUAAGAUUUAAUUUACUUAAUUUUUUAUUAAAGUUUAUUUCAGGUCAAGGUGCAGCUUAUGUUUAAGUGGAGGUGGAUUACAAUAUUUUUAAAUAUACGGAUUUGAUUUUGAAAUGAUUAAUGAAGGUGGAUUUGUUAGUAAUUUUAUUUAUUUUAAUUCUAUGAUUUUGGCUCUAAAAUAAGUACACAUCG
Molecule: ribosomal RNA, 387 nt
Filed under: Anchiale briareus
Lineage: Eukaryota; Metazoa; Arthropoda; Insecta; Phasmatodea; Phasmatidae
Description: partial 12S ribosomal RNA
Source: RNAcentral